ACCGUGACGUCAUCAACAGCCACAAAAAUCACAAAGAAGCUCCGCUUGAUAGUGUGUAGGUUAGUGGCAAUAGCUGAAGAUACAGUCCUAUAACUCAAGCUAUAACGUCUGAUACUGGCUGCAUAGGUGUUGUAGCAACCACCAAGCCUUAAAUAAUGCCAUGCCUCUUAUUUUUGAAAGAGGUUGCACUGUUUUUGUUACAAAAAGCUACCACCAGCCCCCCUGGAAUUUUUACUGAGACGGCGCUUAUGGAAUAACGUCUAACUCAGGCUCUGAUUCGGACUGACUGGUUUGACUGUCACUCCCUGUAUUUUGUCUGAACACCCAGUCGACGAUGUCUUCCCCUUCUCUGUCUGUCAAUCUGCCUGCCUCCACAUCUUCUUCCAGAGAUAUAAUUCACACCGUCCAGUCAAACAACCUGUCGAACACUUGCAUCCUUUAAGGAGUGAGUCGACUCGAUCACGGACAGCCUGUACGUUGGUGGCAGUAUCCCAUUUAAUGGACAAACCUGACGAGUGAAAUCAAUGUUCAAGGAGGCUGCAAGGGUACGUGCUGGCUCACUUCGCCAGUUGCUUGGACUACUCAUAUUCCCACUGACGCCAUGGCACAACUCACAUACUCCAUUGUCUGCAACACUGUCACUGACUUCCCCAAAAGAAAGCUGCCUUCUAGUUUUUCGCUUACUAGCUAGACACUAUUUUACAAAUGUUUGUAUUAAUUUUUUAUAUCGUUAUUGUGUGACACAACAAACCUGGAAUGUCUA
This is a long non-coding RNA of Halichondria panicea, 763 nucleotides long. RefSeq lists it as uncharacterized. The record is from RefSeq and is a predicted model, not a curated record. The transcript has 4 exons. NCBI's taxonomy places the organism in Eukaryota, Metazoa, Porifera, Demospongiae, Suberitida, Halichondriidae.